AGACCGACCCAAAGGGCUUUUCAGGAAGCGUGUGUGCUGCAGUCAGUCAGCAGGGGAGGAGAGAGAAGGCACCACCAUCCGAGGAUUGCGCCACCUAGGCAACCUGAACUUUUUCAUCGAAGACGAUUUUGAUCAGGAAUGCCAUGGUCAACUACAGAAGCUCCCCAGUGAUAGCAGAGCCAUGGGAAAAGCUUCAGACUAGAUCCCGGGUUGUGAGAGGGUGAAUUGUAAUUCUCACAGAGCUUCACCUGACCUGACACCAGCCUGCAGGAGCUUCCCACCAGACUCACAUUGGCAAACAAACACACCCAAGCAGAUUGGCAAAGAGCUGGCAUUGGCACAACCAUGCCGCAUUCAGACGUGAUUCGACUGCGAAUUAGACGGUGAGUGAGGUAAAAAAAAAAAAGGAGAGGAAUCAAGGGGA
Scophthalmus maximus (turbot) is the source of this 424-nucleotide long non-coding RNA. RefSeq lists it as uncharacterized. The record is from RefSeq and is a predicted model, not a curated record. The transcript is spliced from 4 exons. Lineage: Eukaryota; Metazoa; Chordata; Actinopteri; Pleuronectiformes; Scophthalmidae.